Molecule: non-coding RNA, 54 nt
Organism: Salmo salar (Atlantic salmon)
Lineage: Eukaryota; Metazoa; Chordata; Actinopteri; Salmoniformes; Salmonidae
Source: Rfam
UGCAUUCACUACAGUAAGUUGCUCUGGAUAAGAGCGUCUGCUAAAUGACUAAAA